RNAcentral lists this ribosomal RNA (460 nucleotides) under uncultured bacterium. Its description in RNAcentral is "partial 16S ribosomal RNA". It matches the Rfam family "Bacterial small subunit ribosomal RNA", at positions 338 to 795 of the family's 1533-position model. The record is from RNAcentral.
CCUACGGGAGGCAGCAGUGAGGAAUAUUGGUCAAUGGCCGAGAGUCUGAACCAGCCAAGUAGCGUGAAGGAUGACUGCCCUAUGGGUUGUAGACUUCUUUUAUCAGGGAAUAAAACGAGGCACGUGUGCCUUUUUGCAUGUACUUUAUGAAUAAGGAUCGGCUAACUCCGUGCCAGCAGCCGCGGUAAUACGGAGGAUUCGAGCGUUAUCCGGAUUUAUUGGGUUUAAAGGGAGCGUAGGUGGGUCGUUAAGGCAGUUGUGAAAGUUUGGGGCUCAACCGUAAAAUUGCAAUUGAUACUGGCAGUCUUGAGUGCAGUUGAGGCAGGCGGAAUUCGUGGUGUAGCGGUGAAAUGCUUAGAUAUCACGCAGAACCCCGAUUGCGAAGGCAGCUUACUAAACUGUGACUGACAUUGAUGCUCGAAAGUGUGGGUAUCAAACAGGAUUAGAUACCCCAGUAGUC